UACAGAGGUCUCAAGCGUUGUUCGGAUUCAUUGGGCGUAAAGGGUGCGUAGGCGGCGCGGUAAGUCGGGUGUGAAAUCUUGGAGCUUAACUCCGAAACUGCAUUCGAUACUGCCGUGCUUGAGGACUGGAGAGGAGACUGGAAUUUACGGUGUAGCGGUGAAAUGCGUAGAUAUCGUAAGGAAGACCAGUGGCGAAGGCGGGUCUCUGGACAGUUCCUGACGCUGAAGCACGAAAGCUAGGGGAGCAAACAGG
RNAcentral lists this ribosomal RNA (253 nucleotides) under uncultured bacterium. RNAcentral describes it as "partial 16S ribosomal RNA". It matches the Rfam family "Bacterial small subunit ribosomal RNA", at positions 524 to 776 of the family's 1533-position model. The record is from RNAcentral.